UCCCAUAUGCAAACAUGCGCACACGCACUCAUACACACACACACACACACACACACACACACACACACACACACUCUCUCACAGACACACACACACACACACACACACACACACACACACACACAGGAGUGUGUGAUUAGUCUGUGGCAGGUCACAAAUGACAACAGAGACAAUGGUGAGGCCGACGUGAACAAAGAAGGAGGUUAUUCUGCGUCUCCAUUACAGGCCGUAUAAAAGCUGGCAAUGUAUGGGCCUAUUCAAUAAUGACCGGGGUUUAUCAGAUAGAGGAUAUGACCUUAACGUUUCUGACACAGCAAGUAAGACAGCAAAACAUACAGGAACAGAAAUAACACUACAAUGACUCAUGGCUCCUGAAGGGUUUAAAGAAAUAGCAGUAGGCUGUGUUAUUAUAGCAUUUAAAGCUAAACCAAAAAUAAAGAUAUGUUUUCUAACUUACAGUAUAUAUAUAAAUUACAGUAUACUAUUUAUACAUAGGCUUAGAUAUAUUCAUAUUGCAAAGAUGCUAUCUUGCAGAAAUGCAGGAUUCUUUCAUCCUUGUUAAAUAUAAGCUAUAUUUAAAAAUAUUUAGAAAUCCGGGAUUCUUUGUUGUUGUUCUUUGUUACGUGAGUGGGUUCCUCUCCGUCGACUGAGGAAAUGCAACUCUAUUCUUAAAAAAUAAUUAGGCUAGCUCUAUGAAUUUUUUACUUGAAUUUUUUUAACUGCAUCUUUUUUUGAGGUCCCUAAGGAUGUCAUCUUUUGAUGAUCUUUUGAUGAGUGGUGGGCAACAGCAGGAGAGCGCAUCAGACAGGAUGACAAUUAGGCCGUUGAGAAUUAUAGAAGAAGCCAUGGACCACUGCAUUUGUAAAACACAGCACAGAUCUCAAACCGCAGUUGGAUGUAAUGAUUGCUCAGGAAUUACAACCAUUACAAAUGUGAAAAAGAAAAACCACACUGCUUGUUUCUGCAGAGCCUGUGUGACACGUCAGCUGAGUCAGCCUUCCGCUCUUAUUUGUGUGUGGAACUGCAGCCUUACCCUGGGAGACUGUCAGCGCAGCGUAGCUGGGAUAGCGCUGCCUAAAGCCUGUUUCAUCACAUCAGUGGAAUGAUGCGAGCAGUGAGCUUAAGGGCUCUUUAAUGAUCCCUACACAGAUGGACUGGGCUCAGCCAGCCUAAGAACACAAUCAUUUUCUCUUUUUAAUCUACCCAGCAAGACUUCUGCAGUUGCUGAGGGUGCUUGUGUGUGUGUGUGUGUGUGUGUGUGUGUGUGUGUGUGUGUGUGUGUGUGUGUGUGUGUGUGUGUGUGUGUGUGUGUGUGUGUGUGUCUGUGUGUGCGUGUGUGUGUGUGCUUGCAUGUGCACGUGCAAACACACGGGGGAGAGGCUAUGUCACUAAAAAAUUCAGCCACAAUAGAGAAAGAAUCCCCAGUUGUAUCCUGCUCAGAUUUCCUUUUUUUAUAACCUGUCUUCUUUUUUUUUUUACGCAGUCACACAACGGAAUCUGUCUCUUUUUACACCUCGACAGGUUCUCGCUAAUGACCUGAGUUCUCUCUCCUCUCUGAGCUCACAGUCCAAGGGGGAAUAAUGACUAUAGUCUAAGGAUUGAUCACCCACAUCUCAAGGCUAUAAUUCCUCCACUGCAACGAAUGUGAAUACCCACUAACAGAAUCAAUUUAAGGUGAGCGGAGGACCCACCACACACCACAGGCAGCCAAUGUGCAGAUAGAGGCAAAGCCAGUUGGACCACGUUCUUUGCAAUAAUGGCAAAAUCUAAAACUGACUGUGGACAGUCAGUUUCUGUUUGUGUUGUGCUCUUUUGAAUUCCCCCUCAUGAAAAGACGGGAAAGAAAUGCGGCCAACCGAAGUUCCACUGUGAACUAAACCUGGGAUCGGUAAUGAAUUGUUAAAAAAUGCUCCUCUUGAACUCCUCGAAUCAGUCUUUGAGGACGACACACUGCAGGGGCUCAAAAUUUACAUUCACAUUAAGUCAUUUAGCAGACGCUUUUGUCCAAAGAGACAUACAAGGGAGAGAACAGUCAAGCUACGAGCAAUAGAGACAUAGUGUAACAAUAAAUACUAUUUUACAUAGGAAAUAGAAAAAAAGUGCAGGAAUGUAACUGCUAUAAGUGCAAGUUAAGUACUAAUAGAAGUGCUAGUUAGGAAGGGAGCAAAAAACAGCUGAGGGUACAUGUUUAGAAGAUUCUGGAAAGACUGAAGAAACCUAAACAAACCCAAUUAAACUGUGACAACCUAUGCAGCAACACACUGCUCAUUUAUCGGUUUGUUUAUCCAUAGAAAAAAAUAUCCCUUGAGAGGCUCUUUCAAAGCAAAUGUUUCCUGGGUGUGAGAAAUUGGAAUCUAUUUGCAUACUACGGCUGAAGAAGAUUUCUGAUCACUUCAAUACUACUAUACAUGCCUGGAAUAAAUCAUACAAUUGGAAGCAUGGAAACAUUAAUCCUUCAGAUUAAAUGGUUUAGAAGUCUCCUACGAUCAACAACUACUGUUAAAAAAACAAGCUGGAAAGGGUAAGCUUUGUGUCUGUAGCCUGGGCUGCUGAAAUGGCUGUGAGACCUGAGGCUGUGAACCUUUCACUGGUGUGAGAGAAAAGGUCCAUUCACCUGAAAGAAAGGAAUCUGAUUCAGGGGAGAUGGGGCUGGGGGGGACAGUGAAUUGGUCAGGAAAAUGACUACUGUUAGGCCAGCACUCAACAGCAGGGGACCUGACAUAGGGGAGUGACACUGAACAGCAACAAUACCCUCAGUGAACUAAGGUCACAACCAUCAUUUACGAUUCUCUUUCGGUCAUCUCACCCGGCAUCUCACCGUUGAAAGAUCUAGAAAGUGCCUGCCGAGCCAGUUGACUGAAACAGGCCCAAGGCAGAGUUGCAAGGUAAUGCAUCCUUAGGUACCCAUCCGCAGAACGGCAUGCGCCAAAGGGGGGCGCUGUCACGUCCGGGCAGUAAAGCCUAAAUGUGUCGGAGCUCGUCCAGCGUGCAGCAGAGCACACAUCAGACACAGACAGGGACCCUAGAGUGCGCCUUGGCAGACAGAGGGGGCUGUAGCCCUUUGCUUGUAUAGGCCUCUACAGGCCAAUGAGACAGCCUCUGUUUGGAUGAAGUCCAACACCACAUCGGGUUGACAAUACAAACAAACAGCUGAUCACUUCUCUUACUCCACUUUAGGUCAUAUGUAAGGGAUAAUGUAUAGUCCGGCGGUCAUUAUCGAAAAAUGAAUCCCAAUGGGACGAACAGGAACAACAGUCUUGUUUCGUCCUGAAGGGAUUCAUUUUUUUUAUAAUGACCGUCGGACUAUACAUUAUCCCGCUUAUUAUACUGUUACUUGCCAGAUGAAUAGAAGACAUUCCUCCAAAAUACCUCUUUUUAAAGAUUUAGUUGCUGUUUCGUGAUUUCCGCUAAGAAAAAAUUGUUUCAGGUGUUGUGUAGCAACCCAUUACUUGCUGACUUCAAGUUAAAUAACUUUCCGUUACGUUAAAUGACCGCACUAUUUGAGGAAUGAAAUGAUGUGAAUUAGAAGCACAAAACCCGUUGGCUAUGACAGCGGUCAUUCAUUUUUGGCACCGGUGAAUAUAAAGAAAUAUCAGACCUGUGAACGUUGGGGUGGCCCAUUCAAAUCAACUGAACCUUUUGCAAGAUUCUGAGGAGCCGUAUAAUAAAGGGUCCUAAUGGCACUUUGAAUGGUAACAAUCAAAUUCUGAGGGUAAGCCUGCUGAGCGUAUGAUAAACCUUUCACAGGCUAGGCCCAUAAAGCUCAGAUUGGCGGGUGAAGAUGAAAAAUCUCCGCCCUCGGUGCAGCCUGCCAGAGUGCAGCAGCCCUGGUGAUUCACAUGGGCUAUCACUGUAGUGUGGUUCAUUCUCACUUGGACAUGAUGGCCCUGGAGAUGUGGACAAAAGUGUUUCAGACGCAGGAAUACAGCAAGGACUUUGAGGUAAUUGAUCCCGAGGUGAAAGGGGCCACACCCAAUCUACCCCUCUAGCAAACCACCCCAACCGGAUGCAGAUGCAUCCAUUGUCACUACUUUGCGUAUCGUAUGGCAACUCUUUCCAUCAGUGCUCCUGAUGUAGACAGAGUUCCCACUGUCUUAGCGCAUGCAAACAUUCCACCAUCACGCCCACUCUACAGUUUAAACGAGAAAAGGGGCUGAGGCGGAGAGUGGCUAUCCACCGUUGAAAAUCCCUAAUAAACAAUAAUCCCAGUGGCACUACGUUUAUGACAGUCCGACAUGUCCGCAGAUGCUGCGAGCAACACAGAGUCCACUUCCUGGAGAAACAGAGGCUGCUCUGUCUCAAGGGAGCAGUCGCUCAUGUCCCCGGCUAGCUCAGCAGAGGGAGUUAGCUGGUUAGCCCAAGCCUUGCUAGCCACGCCGUCAGCUUCCUCCUGGUCCGAGAGAGGCUGCUCCAACAUCGGGUCUGUGACGAAGCACUGGUCACUCCCCGUGCUAAGGUCGCCCACUGGCUAAGACGGCGCAUGCUAUCAGCAAGGUCAGCACCUGCUUAACACGUGGGGAGCCGGGGCAGACUGGUCACAUGGGGUCUGUGUCGCUGGCAGCGAUGCCAACGCUGCAGCCACUGGGGGAGGGGUGCGGAGGGACCUUAACCUUCUUAGCGGGCGUUUUCUGUCAAGCCUGCAUCACCGGUAAGCGUGGAUCAAGGAAAUAGAAACAGAGGAACAGAGGCUGGUAAGCUGGAGAAGUAGGCAAUAACUGGUUAGCUGGUAUAGUAGGUCGCUAGAAAAAGGGCUGGCAAGCAUAGGAUGGUAAGCAUCACACUGUCUAUGAAGCAAAUUGGACACCUGGUGAAAGAGUGGUAGCUUAUUCCUUAGACAGUUAAGUCAAAGCUUCCAAGAAUAUGCAACGCCAACCUAUAGGGCUUUUGAAGGGCACGGCGAAUGAAGAGGUGAAGAAUGAGAGAUUGGGUCUGUGCAGUAGGUUUUGGAAGGAGGAGGCUCAUUGCAUUGACCAAUUAGCCCAGGCCUAGCAAACAGUGUGGCCCAGAGUGAGAUGUCGAGCGUGUCGACCGAAAGAUAACUCAGUGUACCCUGAAAAGAUAAAGUAAUGCAAGGACUAUGGGGAGAGCCUUAGUUCAUACUUAUGUGUAGUUUGCAGGGAAUAGGAGGUCUGUGAAUAUUUUCCCAUCCUGGGACAAGGAUGUUGGCUGUUAGGUAGUUAGAUCAGUAGGCAGAAACCCCUUCCUACCACUUCAAUAUGGAACUUGAGUUUUACAGCCUACUACUGACACCUUCCAGGAUUAGAUUCAUGUAUAUUUACCAGAUCACUGUUUGGUCUAGAAUCUUGCUAAUUGUACGCUUAAUGCAAACAAAACCUACAAUGGCAGAACUGGUGAAAUUUGCUCUACUUACAAUGGAGGGCAAAACAAUAUCCAUUAUACCACAGUAGAACUCAAACUCAGUGUGUUACAAUGGAGAGUUCUAAUCCAUGUGAUUAUGAAGUCUGAUAAGAACAUACCAUAUAAGAAAUUAGAAAUUAGAAAUGUGUAGUUUGUCGUCACACUGCUAACCCACUUUAGAUAUGUAACCUUCAACUGUAACAAUCAUUAUAUACAACAUAUUUCAGCCUUCUUGUCUAUUUGACUGUCUGGUCAAAGAUUCUGUUACGUCCUUAUUAAUUUAGUUUUAAAGCAGCAUAACGAGAUGCUAGCGGCUAAAACUAGCAAAACCUCUUGAAAUGUGCUUACUUAGACACUAUGACAAACUAGUUAGUCAACAACUGUCCUAACACAGUCAAACAUCAAGCAAGUGCAACACAAGACAAAGCAAGACGGCAAAUAAGCUGCAUACUAGUUCGGCAGACAGUAGAAACCGGGCGGCUUGAGGGCAAACCUACAUUACGCAGUAAUAUGCCUACGGACCCUGGUAUGGCAAUGGCAAGGCAAAACCUUGCACACACCAACAGUUGCACAGUUAGGGGUCACAUUCCUAUCUUCCCAGGGUCCUAUUUUCCCUAGUUGUACAUAAGUGCUCUCCCAGGGUCCUAUGUUCCCUAGCUCUUUAUAGCACAUAAUAGGAACCUGAAAAUGAUGUUCCCCAGCUCUGUAUUCGCUUAUGACAAUAUGACAAGGGGCUGUUGUUGUGUUUUGAAGCCUUGUUCCAAUAAAAACUGGAUAAUAUUUAUAAAAUAUUUGAACUUGAAAUGGGUCAAAUUUCCCCCGAUCGCAAUGGGAAGGUUAAUGUGUAAUACAAAUUUUUUUUUAAUUAACUAAUUAAUGUCACAUUUCGAAAUUCAUUAAUCUAGAUUAAUCGCGAUUAAAAGUUUGUUUUUCUUCUAAAGACUACAUCUUAUAAAUGAUCGAGUAAUCACUUCAGACAGCGUGUAUUUUAGACACUGUUGUUUAAUUAUUUUUUUUUAAACACAAAACUACACAGAGCAAUUUGAAUAACCUCAGUCAGCCCACCGUCCUCAACUAUGUUGAUGGGCCCGACAGUCACCGGCAACCCAAACUGCUAAAGCGUUGGUAACCUUUUCAUGGACUGGUCUAGUUAUUUUCCUAGAGAAGUCGUGGAGUGUGGGUUGGCGACCAUGUAACCUGGGACUGCUUUCUGUCGGGUUCUUUGCAUUAAGGUGAUAACUUAAAGACGAGCUGCUUCUGUGAUAGCUAAGUUCAUCUUGACAAAUGCUACAUACAACUUUAGUUUUGUCGAUUGUUCUGUUAUUUUGCCUCUUAAACAGAAACUUCCCGCCCAACAAUCCUUCAGCUCUCUCCAUCUUCAACUACAGUCUCGGUCUCUCCUAUCUAACUGACUGCAGGCAUGUUUCGUGUCAGGGGUCAACGCACACCGGAAGUAAACAAAGUUGUGUUAACUGCGUUAAAAUAUAUUAUCGCAUUAAUCUCGGCCACAAUAAUCUCAUAGAUUAACGCGUUAACUUUGACAGCCCUAGUAAUACCAGAAUAUUGAACCGGGGAACUUAGGACAUUGGGAACAUUUAGGACUCUGAUGACAUUUAUAGUACCCUGGGAUAUGUUAGCUAUGGUACUGAUAAGAGGAUUUUAACAUGCUAACUAGUGUUUUUUGGCGAUAUAGCGGUUCCAUGGCAAUGUUCCGAAGGCCCAUUAUUCCGACAGCCCGCUGUUCCGAAAUUGUGAGCACAGUAACGUGAACCACUAUAGCCGACAUGCACAUCCCAAUGAAUCACACAAUCAUAAACAUAUAAAUGCAUUUAUUUCACAAGCAUGAACUUUAAUUCAUAAUACUAUUAUACACACAUGGCAUUUGCAUCGCAAAAAUACUUUUAUGAUUGCCAACGCAUGCAUGCUUUGUCAGUGCUUGACAAGAUCUGCAUAAUGUCCUGCGACAAUCUGCCGGUGAUUUCCUUUGCAUGAGUGGUAGCCUACCCUAUAUUCAAAACCAGAGUAGGCUAAGUUAACAAAUAUUGCCUAGGAAAAGUUAUAGGCUAUGCGUGAUAGCCCGGUGAGCGUCUCCGCUGCGCAAACUAAAUGCUAUCUGUGUUUUGUGCCACUUAAAAUAUUUCGGAAUAUUGACUAUUUUUCGGAAUAUUGAGAUUUCGGAAUAUCAGGCUUUCGGAACACUGGGCCGUCCCCGAUAUAGCAUAGUAGUGCUGUAAAAUCUUUUCUUGAAUUCUCAUUCUCUGGCCCGCCGAACUACAUAGUGUAGCCUGGAUGGCUAGUGGUAACGACAGGAGUGUUUAUAUGUCCUUCACAUGACCAAAUACUUUCAUAAUGAAUUUGAAGAUGAUGCCAAAGCUAACAUACCUCAAAAUGUGGUAAAUACUUGCACACUGUAAUUUUGUAUUCCUGCAUAAGAGAAGCUAACCUGAAGAAUCAGAAUCCCUGCCCAGUGGGAACCAAUGUUGCAUGGGCACUACAGAAGGAGGGAUGGGCAUGGUGAUUUUGUUAUGUUGAGGCCCAGGCUAAAACAUGGUCCAUGUUUUGUUAUGUUGAGGCCCAGGCUAAAAGAUGGUCCACGUUUUGCAUGUCCUAUGCCCUGUAUAAACCCCCAUUUCCCUAUCAUGUAGCAGUGUAAUGUGCUGUCAGCUUUUCAAAGGGCGUUCAAGCAAAUAAUGUGUGUGGCCUUAUGAAAGGAUCCUCAUAAAACAAUAAACUGUUACCAGGACUACAGGAUAAUGUUCCCUUGAACUUGCUAAGCUAUGCUUUGAGAAAUACUGGCAUAAUUAGGGCUGAUCUGACACAGUUCAUUCCAAUAAAAGGCUUCACCUUACAUAUAGUGUAGUUAGGCAUUACAUUAAAAGUAAGCACAGAUUUUCCUUUGACUCUUUUUUUAUUUCAUUUGGGGAGAUCAAUGACAUUUUUUUUUUUUGAAGUAUCCAAUUAGAUUUUUUGAUUUGAAGAACAGUUUGAAGAAAUGUGUCCUUGGGGCCUUGCUGCAUACCUGAUGUGCGCCUGAUAGGCUCAUCACCACCUGCUGGGCCAAACUCUCCUGUGCUUGACAAGAACAAAGGUACGUAUAACUAGCCAUUGACACCUUUACAUGCACCACCUCCAUCCAUACUUAUGAGGAUACAUCUCAGAGGUAUAUAGGACUAAUUGAGAAUCUAACUGAGAUUGAGAGCAGUUAUAGCUCAGAUAUACUACUGUAUUUUACUUUUGGCUUGACUUGUUUGUUAUACUUGACCUUUGUUGCUGUAUGUUAUCAUGUAAGGCUAAUAUUUUCUCGUUGGUCCAAGACCACUGACUUCCCAUUAAACAAAGACAAACAUCACAAAGAUUUUAUCAGUGUUAUGCAAAGCAUAAGUGCUGAUAUAAAGAGCAUGUCAGAACAGACCAUACAUGAUCAAAACUAACAACAAAGCCUUUGCAUAUUUAAAGUGAAGGAAAGACCCAAAAAGUCCACACUACCAAAAGAUAUCGCACCAUAACUAUUCCAGUAUGGCUGAGCAUUUUGUUUUGUCUGAGCAUUUUGCCAACCAUUUCUGCUUUAGUGCACCCCGUAUGUUCAAUAAACCUUUUGGUUUUAAAAGCCAUACUUACACCAUUUAUGAUUAUAGAAGUUCACUGAUUAUGAUGCUAGUCGAAUUUUCCCUAAAGCUAACACUAAUAAUAGAUAAGAGUACUAGGUGGUUAGUAAGAAUGCACUGAGUUUGUUUAAAACUGUUCCCGUGUGCUGUGUAAAACUUGCACUGGUCUUUCCUGAAGGCAAUACAGUGAUUUAGUGUGUGUGGUGGGUAUGUGAUUACAGUAUGUUUAAUUUCGCCUUUGGGGUUUAGCCUCGUUGCUUUUCUUCUGUAAACAGAUUAAAUGCUGCUAUGUGAUUACGUUUACUUUUAGGUGGGCAUGUGGUGUUCUAAAAGUUGAUUUAUCAUCACUGUCUACACCAGUCUUAGCUCAAGCCUUCACAUUCACUCAGGAUCUCAGCUGCAAUAAAUUAUGGAAAUCUCAUGUCAAGUGAUAUCAAGUCUUCCAGUGAAUCUGCUAUGCCAAACGCAUUGCAAGCAGUCGAAGCUACGUGGCUCUCAUGCAACAUGCCCUUAUGAAUGCCUUCUUCCAUGUUAAGCCAUCAUGUUUCAGGGAGGCAGGUGCUAAGUGACGUAAGUGAACACUAUGCUAUUUCUGCCUUAGGCAAAGUGGAAACAUACUCUAUCUUUCAGCUGGCUGUCACUGGUCAACUGUAAGAACAUACUGUACUACCAUGUGAAGAUGGGAUCAGGAGGACAGUGCCAGAAAAGCCUGGGAGAGAGAGUCAUGGAUAUGUUGAGACCAAGGGUGUAACGAUAGACACAUUUCACGAUUUGGUACGGUUCGGUACAGUAGCCUCUUGAUUCGAUACUUUUUCGAUGUAACAAAGUUACAGUUGAGGCUACUAAAUUACGCAAAUUUGUAUUAUACAGCCUUUACACUUAGGGUACAGUCCACAUAAAUAAGCAUCUAUUUAGGAUGAGACCAGGGGUGCAAAACAACCUUUUUGGUUUACCGGCCAUUUGAAAAUUUGAAAAUGUUUACCAAUAAUUUUUUAAAUUUUGUAAUAUGUUAAUAGUAAAUAUUACAUACAUCAGUAUACAGAAAGUCUAUCAAAGUCUAUCAAAAUGUGUAUGGGAACAUAUUUUACUCUUGGAAACAUAAUUUACAGAUAUCACUUUAAGAAGCUUUUGAAGACCCAACUCUUCAGAGAGCACCUCCCCUCCUAACUGGCACUUCAACUAGUGCUUAACUUGCACUUACAGCAGUUACAUUCCUGCACUUCUUUUAUUCUUUUCUAUUUUUGUCUUUCUAUUUCUUAUGUAAAGUAGUAUGUAUUGCUACACUAGGUCUAUUGCUCGUAGCUUGACUGUUCUCUCCCUUGUACGUCGCUUUGAACAAAAGCGACUGCUAAAUGACUAAAUGUAAAUGUAAAUGUAAAUUACUGUUAUGCAGAGAACAGGUAGGGCAGUUGAUAAAGAAACAUUAGCAGCCCCAAGGUCCUGAGUCCAAUACCUGAGCCAUAAUGCUGAAGUCUAGGCCAUAUGUUUCUUGUACUUCCCCUUUGUUAAAUAAAAUAGACUGCUACAUUCAUGAACGCCAAAGUGAGCACAACAGCGAUUUUGGGAUACAAAUUCCCCUGUAAAUGCCCCAGCACAUGGCCAGCUUCAUCCCUUAUUUAUAAGCUCAUUCAAAGACAUGGUAUUCAAAAACACCUGUACUUCUCCACAACCAGAUAUACAGCUUAAGAUGCAUUGUGCAUCCAUUUAUAUUGUCAAACGUUUGAGUGCUUUGCUGCUAACACGUUUGCCCAUCAUGGGUCAUGGAUCAAAGCAGAGAAAUUAUAUUAAUGAUUUUAUUAACUUAAAGGUUAAUUUUAGGAUUUUUCCUCCUUCUUCAAUUUCAAUUCAAAUCAAUUGCAUUUGUUUAUUUAGUGCCAUUAAAACUUGACUUUGUCCCAAGGAACUUUAUAGAGGCCUGAACCCCCUAGAGCAGGCUUGUCACAGUAAAAGGUUGUAUUUUUUUCACAGUGCAAUGGUGGGAUACACAGUACUAUGCAGGAUAUCACAUCUACAGUAAGAUACUGUUUCAAUGUACAAAUCACAGUAAAAAGAAAAAGUGCAGAUUUCACACAAAUAGCAAAUAUUAGACCUUAUGACCAGCUAUAAGACCAAAGAAUCUAAAAUUCAGGCAGAUGGCGAGAAGACCCUGCUAUGAACGAACGAAUGAAUAAUAGAUUAGUAGUUGCACAUCAAACUGGUACUAGUAGCUGCAGAUGUUUGACCCGUGUGUGGAGUUGUUUUAUUGGAUUGGGGCCGUACACUCGACUGGCCCCCACCCAGGAGGUGUCUCAUCAAGCUGACUUGCCUCCAAAUUCAUUUUUAAUUGCCACUUUAGCCAGAGGCCCACAGUCAAGACUACACCCAGAAGUGCGGGGAGACUGCGAAUGCCUUUUGGACUGCAUCACAUCAGCCCUCCACAACCCCUUUUCUGUUGAAAAGCUCAGAUUUUUUGCCUGUUCCUCUUUUUCCCCUUCUUUGUCUAGCCAAUCUCUCUCUGUGUGUGUGUGUGUGUGUGUGUGUGUGCACGCGCGCUAUGGGGCAGCAGCUGGUCUGUGUGUGUGCAACAGUCUAAUAAUCAGUGGAAGACUAAGGAGUACUGCUGGGAAAUGGGAUUUAAAGUGGCAUGAGAGCCGUUGGCUUUUAUUUGUGGGUAUCACACAGGCGCAGACAGGACUCAUCUAUCUUCUGUACUCCAACAUUUCCCCACUUUGCCAGUCCUACCCAGGCUAUCCUCAGACCCAUUCACACAGAGCCCCAAACAGUGUGUGUGUGUGUGGGGGGGAGAGACACAGAAGAAGCUGUGAAAGGCUUCAGCAGAGUGCCGCUACUCAGCAUGGCUGCUGCGACGGUGUUCAACACAAAAUGGUGACCAGGGAAGGGCCAGAAAAGGGCGGGGGGUUCCAGUAUCCACACAACAGAGAAUGACUGAGGCACUGAUUCCCACUCUUUGCCCUCAAAUCACCACAUAUCCUUGUAUCACCUUUUUUCUUUCUCUUUCAUCCUUCUUUUUCUCUUUCAAUUCCCCUCUGACAUUUGUUUUUAACAGGCAGAAGUUGCUGGUAAGAUAAUGAAUGUGCACAUGCUCAAACACUUCUCUGUUCCAUCGCACACUGAAGAAAAAAUAAUUGGUUAUCUCACAGCUGGCUCAAGAGGGCUGCAGAGGUGUCAGACUGGGCUGCCGGUGGUUAGUCUGCCUCUUUCCCCAACUCAGUCUGAGUUCACUUGGUAACACUGAGCCAGCCAACCAGCCCUUAAUCUCUUAAACACUCGUAAACACCAUCUCCCGAGGUUACCACAGGGCAAAUGCACAGGCUUAGCAUCUCAAUCAGCCUUGCCGGAUACUAGAUGCUGAAUCUGUUUGGUGUAGUCGGUGUUGUGAACUUGUUCAGGUUCUUUUUCACAUUUUGGCCUUUGUUCAAUUGGGACUGAGAUUUAUGGGCUGAAGCAUAAAAAUCACAGAUUCUCUAUAAAAAUAAAGAAAGUAAUAAAACAACAGUUGCAGAGCCCGUAUACCGCUAAUACUUGUAAUGAAACACUGGGACGACCCAGAUUUUUUAAGCAUACUAGUCAGCCUUCAUUUAUAACUUCUAGUAAGCAGGCACAAGCUUUUCAUCAAUGCAAUUCUUCCUCUCAGGAACCCAAACUUGAAGCAGUUUUUUCAAUGCACACCACAUAAUUAAAUAUCAUAUUUACAGUAACUCAUUUUGCUGACACUUUUACCUGAGCAUUACUAACUGCCAUCAGCCAUCAGCAUCUUUGAGUCCUUCCCAAGCCAAAACCAUAUUCUGCCAAUCCAAGUCAAUGUUCACCCGAGGGAACACAAACAUUGGUAAUUGUUUAUUUCACACAACAAAUUCCCACACUGUACAGGCUAUUUGUGCAGGUGGCUCUUUCUCAGUCAACUCGCUACUUUAAAUGGAGUGUGACUGAGCUCAGGACAUCAAACACAAAUCACUUCAGGCUUCUGUAAUUACACACACAGGUACAACUGGGACAGACUGAGGGAAGACGGCUGCGGCACAUCUGAAUAACACUGGAUGAAACACUCCUGCGGUGUUCAACAGUUUACACCCCUGAAGCUCGUCUGCAGCCUCGCCGCCAAUCACCUGAGAACAAUAGGCUGUGCUAUUACUAUUUCGGUACAUUGUCCAGCUAUUUCACUUUGUCACCUCUAAGAAUGUGCUUUAUGACCAAGAUGACCUGCCUCAGAAUACGCUCGUUGUAACGUACUGUGGAGUUAAAUCAGUGAAUACGCCCGUUGUAACGUACUGUGAUUUUAAAUCAGUGAAUACGCCCGUUGUAACGUACUGCGUAGUUAAAUCAGUGAAUACGCCCGUUGUAACGUACUGCGUAGUUAAAUCAGUGAAUACGCCCGUUGUAACGUACUGUGUAGUUAAAUCGGUGAAAUCAAAGGUGUUGGUUCAAAGAUGGAGGUCAGACAGAAGUAGCUUUUGAAGCUUUGGAAUCAACAGUUAACAGAUUCCCACUGGCUUACAGAGGCGGGUCCGUAGAUCUGGCAUAAAAAUGUAACAUUAUUCUGACUUUUCUAUUCACUACAAGCCAUUCAACUGGAAAGAAGACACAUUGUCAUCAACAGCAUUUGUGUCCGUGUAGAGCCUACUGGAACUUUAACUGCCUUCCAAUCUUAUUCAGUAUAAUAUGGGUUAAAGCUCAAACUGCAGUUGCAUUGGUGUUUAAAGCUGCAAGCUCAAGUGUCCAGACAUUCAUCCAAUGUGGCCAAUUCCAACCUGCAGAACAGCUUUAAUCUGAAUACUAAUGUCUAAGAAUGCAGUUAGUCAAAACUGCACACAGGAAGAAAGAAAGUCUGUGUCUGACGCAACAAGUCUAAUUUAGAAUAGGUCAGCGUCAACAAUACAAAAUACACAACCGUCAUUAAAAUCCCAAUUAACAUUUUAAAAUCCUGAAUACAUAAAAAAACAAAACCAGUCAAGCUGAAUAAUUAGCUCAGCCAUGACUAUUCCACUGCCAACUGCUCUCUCUCUCUCGCUCUCUCCCUCUCUCUCUCUCUCUCUCUCUGUUGAUCUUGCAGCUAUGAUAAGGACAAGGCCAAACAGCCACUCAUAAUUGCCUAAGGACUGCAUUGGGCCUGUCAAGGCUGCAGCUCCUCAUACUAACAGGAAAGACGUCUCCCAGAAACACAUCAUUUUUUGACUUGGUUGGCUACAUGUUAUUUAUUACCACUGCAGCAUUGAAAAUGUGUGGGAGUUUGCAAACUCAGCCAGUGUGAGUACAGACAAAGCUGUGGCAUUGUCUGUCAGUAGUUGUAAAGACCACUGCAUUGAUUUAAUUACAUGCUUUCCUCUAUCACCCUUCAUUUAUAAUGGACUACGUGCAUUUCUUUAGAGAAUUCCAGCAUCACGAUCAUAAUAAUGUUGGGCACCUGUAAAAGAUCAGCAAACAAGUAGGCUACACAAUAAAAUGGCACGUCCGGCCCUGGUGGAUUCUAAUCUGCUGUGUGGCAAACAUAAAUAAGCCUCUACAAGCAGGGAUCCCAUUUGCCCAUACUGUGUUCAUGAAAGACCAAAUACCAUUUAUGUAUGGCUUGUUCUGUGUGUGUGUGUGUGUGUGCGAGCCAAGGCAAGGCUAUUUAAAGCUGUGUUUAUGCACAGGCAUGCAGGUCGCAAGUAACUGGCAGUAGCACACUCUGUAUGAAGCUCAUAGCAAGUUUUUAAAAAGCAAGGUCAGCUCCACAGAACAGUGGUUCAUGUGUAGCCUGUCUUUGUGUGGUGAAUAGUUUUGGACUUUGCAUGGUGGGAUUGGGUUGGCUAUUCUCAGUUACACAUUCUGUAAUAUAUAUAUAUAUAAAAAUAAAAAAAAUGCACUUAUUAUUGUGAACCACUGGCUGUAUAUGUGUUUGGUUCCAUUGUCUGGAUGUUUCCAACCUGUAUGUCUAAAACCAGGAUAAAUGUGCUGUUCUGUGGUGUGUGACUGAAGAAUGACUUGACUUCCCCCUGUAGCGUUUCUGGCAACUGAGUUUCCUCGGAAGGCCCGUCAUUUUAUUCAAUGCUGCUUCAACAGUCGUUUCAUAUUGAGAAAUGUGCCAAAAAAAAAUGAAACCUACCUCUAAACCUAACUCUAGCCACAUUAUGAUUAGUGUGGCUAGAGUUCUGCCUCAGAAUGUUGGUCUAGAUGAAUGGUCACAGGUCACACUGCACAACAAUGGCCACUUAUUUGUGCUGCGCAUGAUUGCAGUCUGAAGAACAGCUGGCAGGCUAAAACAACAGUGUGUGGCAGAUCAUUACGAGAUGUUUGUAGGAGGGAGGGCGCUGACGGCAGCACAACAGUCACACCUCACAAGUGAACCAAUUUACCUCAGAGAAUAACACCCCCACACACCCCACACACAUCCUCUGCUUUUAGAGGGCUUUGUGGUAUGACAGUGAGCACGGGAGGUUUUGGGGGAAGAGAGGUUCUCAUAGCCAUCGUGUCAUUGUCUACCUGUAGCGUGCCUAUCAUCUAUCAUCUGAAGCCAGUGUUCACUUUUGGAGGGACUGAUCACAGGAAACAAAUACAUUUCACAAGGAAAGGAAAAGAGGACGGCGCUGGUAGAAAAAUCAACACACACAGAAAGUGCUGGUUUUAAAUACAAAUUGAUGCAAUGAUCAAUAGUGGGGUUGCUGGAUAAGUCCCUGCAGCUGUGAACAUCAUACUGAGCUCAAUUGACUGAGUCAAAAUACUGUUGAGGUUUUAAUGGUCCUGACUGCCAACAAAAACAGAGGCACGCACGCUGAUGUCAUAACAGAUCUUACAACGACGAUCGCACGCUUACACACACAUACACACACACACACACACACACGUGAUGAUAAUGACGGGUCAGGUUAGACUUAUGUGUGCUAGAGGAACAGUGUAAUGGUGAACAGCUGGUCAGCUCCACACAGACCCAAACUCAGGUCUCACUGGAGCUGAAGGAGGCCCUGUUCCAUCUGCCUACGACAGGAGACAUUCGGCUUAAAUCAGCGCACCCUCUAAGUGUGUGUGUGUGUGUGUGUGUGUGUGUGUGUGUGUGUGAGUGUGUGUGUGUGUGUGUGUGUGUGUGUGCGUGUGCAAUCCAUCCACACACAGGAACACACACCUCACCUCCAGUUCUCACCAGAGCGCACAGGCAUGUGUCAGAAAAGGAUCUGCUGCCAUGACAGUGGUUUGUGGUCAAGUGUCAGAUGGAAUGAGCAUUGGUCGGAGCGUGUAAUUGACUCAGAACAAUGUCAGUGGGAGAAUUAAAGAGGCUACCCAAGACAGCCUUCCCAAUGGAGCCUUCUCCAAAAAGGGCCAACAAAAAUGAGUCAGGUUAGUUUUCAACAGCUCACAUUUUUCCAGCAGUAAUACUGCUGAAGACCAAUAUGUUAAGGCCAAUGAGUUUGACCCUUUUAAGCAACACACUGCCUGCAGAUGUCACAAAGUGGAAAGCUACGGAACGGCUUUGCUUGUGUCCAUCCUACAACAAAUGCUAUGACUAUUGGUAUGGUAUGAGCUCUGGUACUAUGACUAUGACUGCCACUAGAUCUGAUGGUUUCACUCACGGUCAUCAUUAUGAAAAGGAGCCAAUUAUGUACAGUAGCUCGCCCAAUUAAAAUCCAAGUAAGUGUGGUGUUUGGUUAUGCAGGGCCUGCUGCUGUGCCCUGUGGCGUAGCGCUCAAGUCACAUGGCACCACAACCUGGGACAUCCCUCCAGGGAUGGAGUGUGGAAUGUUGCUGCGUGUUCCAACAGGCUUCCAUUUUUCCCAACUGUAUGGUGAGCUACAAGAAUGACAACAUGCCAUUACUGUCUUGAAAUGCUGCUUACCAGUCCAGGUGACAGUUGCAGGAGAGUUUUUGAAAGAGGGGUACCAAUUGAAACAGCUGUGCCUGCAUGUUUAUAAGGGACGUGCUGUACUAUGCUAUCACAACCAAUAACAAGCCCGUCCCCUGAGAGUUAGGAGCUGUUCCAUGAGAGACUGAAAUCACUGUUGAUAGGAUUUUCAACUACAAGCCAGAGAAAUAGGGUGUAAACUCUUUAUUCGUCUUAUUUCAAUUAAGGAAGAUAUAAAAACAAAUGUGAGGUGAGACAUGGUUAUUCAACAUUUCAGUACCAAAAGGUAACGUGCCAGCAUCGCAAUGUUUGUGUAAACAAAGACUAAGCUGAAAAUGUAACUGAAAAUCUCAGAGCAGGACUAGCGUAGAUCCACUUAAGUCAAUUAGGCCAACAUCUCCAGUCACAGGCAGACGUACAUUCUUGCCUGCAGCCCAUCCCCCUGCGCAGAUUUCCCGGGUAAAUUUACCAUAAACAUGUCAUUUUUGCUCAGCCAAAAACUGUAUCCUGGUAGCAUUACAACACAUAUACAGAAACAAUGGUUUCCAAUACAUUAUCAUCAGUUCUAGAAUUAGUGUUUUGCCAUGGCAACAAAGUCAACAACUAGGCUGUAAAAAAAAAAUCAGAAUAUGGUCGCUGUCUAUUUUAUUUACAUAAUUCUUGCGACAACAUGCCUGGAAAUUGCUGUUAAUGUGAUUCGCUUUUUAACGUUAUUCAAUCGCUUUGGAUGAUACAAUUAUGCUACUUGAAAAUAAACCCAUUUAGAAAAUCCACUGCUAAAAAGGCUUAGUUCCACGUAUGCUUCGGCACAACGUUAUAUAAUUAGCUCGCUAGCAGAAGCUACCCGACACUGUACAAUGCGGCUCUACCAGCCAGACAAGGCAAUGCAUAGACUUUCUAUUAUUGCACGUCUUCCACUAACGUUAGCUAAACAAACGUCUCAUCCCUAUGAUUUGAUGACAAGACAGAGAACACAAAGAAAUAACUGCUGCCUGGCGCUGUCCCCACAGAAUGUUAAAGUCAGACGUGUUGCGAGAGUGGCCCGACGAGAAAUUCUCGCAUAUACAGAUAAUGUAACGGGGGAAAAGAAAGCAUUCGCUUCUUCAAGCCUCCGUGUACCCAUCCCCCACCAGUUCUCUUUGCCUGUCCUCCAUCUUUAAUCUGCACCCCAUCAAGCUUUCCACAGUACCAAAAAUGCCCCAAACCGAAAAAAACUUACCUUUGUCGGUCAUUGUUGUAUUGAUAAUCGACUUUGGAGUUAAAAUUGCAAAAUAUUUUUUUUAGUUUAAAGAUUUUUUAAUUGAAAUUUGGACCGAGAAUAGGACCGCGCCUUUCAGAAGAGCAGCAAUCCUAAGCCGCCAUCUGGUGGCAUUUUCCUCAAUCGAAUGGCGGAUGGCGCAUUUACAGACCGGGACCAGAGUGCC
Molecule: long non-coding RNA, 18197 nt
Organism: Clupea harengus (Atlantic herring)
Lineage: Eukaryota; Metazoa; Chordata; Actinopteri; Clupeiformes; Clupeidae
Source: Ensembl